GCAAAGGGAGGAAAGUCCGGGCUCCAUAGGGCAAAGUGCCAGGUAACGCCUGGGAGAUGAAAGUCUACGGAAAGUGCCACAGAAAAUAUACCGCCACCAGGUUAAUCUUGGUGGUAAGGGUGAAAUGGUGCGGUAAGAGCGCACCGCGCGAUUGGUAACAGUCGUGGCAGGGAAAACCCCACUUGGAGCAAGACCAAAUAGGAAUCCACUUGACUUCGGUCAUAGCGCAUGGCCCAUGCGGGAUUCGGGUAGGUUGCUUGAGGCAAACGGUGACGUUUGUCCCAGAUGAAUGAUUGUCCGCG
This 302-nucleotide RNase P RNA is filed under the name Legionella yabuuchiae. RNAcentral's name for it is "partial ribonuclease P RNA". It matches the Rfam family "Bacterial RNase P class A", at positions 36 to 321 of the family's 367-position model. Rfam says of the family: Ribonuclease P (RNase P) is a ubiquitous endoribonuclease, found in archaea, bacteria and eukarya as well as chloroplasts and mitochondria. The record is from RNAcentral. Lineage: Bacteria; Pseudomonadati; Pseudomonadota; Gammaproteobacteria; Legionellales; Legionellaceae.